GGGGGUGGAGUAGGAGUAAAUUGGGUUCGGCGUCGCCACCUCCCACCUCCUCUUCCUCGCCACCACUCCCUCCCCCGCCCCCCGCCCCCAACCCCAUUCGCCGCCUCCCGAUUCCUCCCCCGCCGGCCGCCGGGCGAGCGAGCGCCUCCGGCGACCGCGGCUCCGGCGCGGACCCUCGACGCCGGAGAGGGCGCGCGGGCGGUUGGGCGGGCGAGCGCGAUGUACGGGAACGACAACUGGAUCAACAGCUACCUGGACGCCAUCCUCGACGCGGGGAAGGGCGCGGGCUCGGGGAGCGGCGGCGGCGGGGGCGGGGGCGGAGGGGACCGGCCCUCGCUCCUCCUCCGCGAGCGCGGCCACUUCUCCCCGGCGCGCUACUUCGUCGAGGAGGUCAUCACCGGCUACGACGAGACCGACCUCUACAAGACGUGGUCCCGCGCGAACGCGAUGCGGAGCCCGCAGGAGAGGAACACGCGGCUGGAGAACAUGACCUGGAGGAUCUGGAACCUCGCCAGGAAGAAGAAGGAGGUUGAGGAUGCCAAACGGUUAAAACGUCGGUUAGGGACAGAGAAGCCACGGACUGAUGCUACUGCAGAAAUGUCUGAAGAUCUCUUUGAAGGAGAAAAAGGCGAGGAUGCUGGUGAUGCAUCUGUUGCCUAUGGUGACAGCUCAGCUGGGAACACACCUAGGAUCAGUGCCGUUGACAAGCUAUACAUAGUAUUGAUCAGCCUUCAUGGCCUGGUUCGUGGUGAGAACUUGGAGCUUGGCCGGGAUUCAGAUACUAGUGGGCAGGUCAAAUAUGUUGUGGAACUUGCUAAAGCAUUGAGUUCAUGCCCUGGAGUAUACCGGGUUGAUCUGUUGACGAGGCAAAUAUUAGCACCUAAUUAUGAUCGUGGAUAUGGUGAACCGUCAGAGACACUGGUACCAACAAGCUUCAAGAAUCUUAAACAGGAAAGAGGAGAGAACAGUGGUGCAUAUAUCACCCGAAUACCAUUUGGACCGAAAGACAAGUAUCUAGCUAAAGAACAUCUCUGGCCUUACGUGCAAGAAUUUGUUGAUGGUGCACUCAGUCAUAUAGUGCACAUGUCAAAGAUCAUAGGUGAAGAAAUCGGCUGUGGACAUCCAAUGUGGCCUGCUGUGAUUCAUGGUCAUUAUGCCAGUGCAGGAGUUGCUGCUGCUCUGAUAUCUGGAGCACUUAACGUUCACAUGGUAUUUACUGGGCAUUUUCUUGGGAAAGACAAGUUGGAAGGGCUUCUCAAGCAAGGGAGACAGACAAGGGAAGAAAUAAAUAUGACAUACAAAAUAAUGCGCCGAAUUGAAGCAGAAGAACUAUCUCUUGAUGCAUCUGAAAUAGUAAUUGCAAGUACUAGACAAGAGAUAGAAGAGCAAUGGAAUUUGUAUGAUGGUUUUGAGGUCAUGCUUGCAAGGAAGCUUCGUGCGAGAGUCAAGCGUGGUGCUAAUUGCUAUGGACGUUACAUGCCUCGUAUGGUUAUAAUUCCUCCAGGUGUUGAAUUUGGCCAUAUGAUUCAUGAAUUUGAUAUGGAAGGCGAGGAAGAUAGCCAUUCCCCAGCCUCUGAAGAUCCGCCUAUUUGGUCUGAGAUAAUGCGGUUCUUCACAAAUCCUAGGAAACCUUUGAUUCUGGCUGUUGCUCGUCCAUACCCUGAAAAGAAUAUUACAACACUUGUGAAAGCUUUUGGUGAAUGCAGACCAUUGAGGGAGCUUGCUAACCUAACACUGAUUAUGGGUAACCGUGAAGCUAUUUCCAAAAUGAGUAAUAUGAGUGCAGCUGUUUUGACAUCAGUACUUACAUUGAUUGAUGAAUAUGAUUUGUAUGGUCAAGUGGCAUACCCAAAGCAUCACAAACACUCGGAAGUUCUUGAUAUUUAUCGUUUAGCAGCGAGAACAAAGGGUGCUUUUGUAAAUGUAGCUUACUUUGAACAAUUCGGUGUCACCUUGAUAGAGGUGUUGGACAACGGCCUCCUUGUUGAUCCCCACGAUCAGCAUGCAAUUGCAGAUGCACUCUAUAAGCUUCUUUCUGACAAGCAACUCUGGUCAAGAUGUAGAGAAAAUGGGCUGAAAAAUAUACACCGGUUUUCUUGGCCUGAACAUUGCAAGAAUUACUUGUCGAGGAUAUUAACUCUUAGCCCAAGAUACCCUUCUUUUCCGAGCAAUGAAGACCAGUUUAAGGCACCUAUCAAGGGAAGGAAGUGUAUCAUCGUUAUUGCCGUAGACUCUGCCAGUAAGAAAGAUCUGGUCUGUAUCAUAAAAAAUUCUAUUGAGGCUACACGGAAAGAAACGUUGUCAGGUUCAACAGGUUUUGUGUUGUCGACUUCCCUGACAAUGUCAGAGAUACAUUCCCUAUUAAUAUCUGCAGGCAUGGCUCCUACAGAUUUUGAUGCUUUCAUAUGCAAUAGUGGGAGUGAUUUAUUUUACCCUUCGCGGGCUGGUGAUUCACCAAGCACUUCCCGUGUGACAUUUUCAUUAGACCGUAAUUACCAGUCUCAUAUCGAGUAUCGUUGGGGAGGAGAAGGUUUAAGGAAGUACCUAGUGAAGUGGGCUUCCUCGAUAGUAGAAAGAAGGGGAAGAACUGAAAAACAAGUCAUUUUUGAAGAUGCAGAGCACUCCUCAACAAGUUGCCUUGCAUUUAGAGUGGUCAAUCCAAAUUAUUUACCUCCUUUGAAGGAGCUGCAAAAGUUGAUGAGAAUCCAGUCACUGCGUUGCCAUGCUCUUUAUAACCACAGUGCUACCAGGCUAUCUGUAAUUCCAAUUCAUGCAUCACGGUCCCAGGCUCUAAGGUACUUGUCUGUUCGUUGGGGCAUAGAGUUGCGAAACGUCGUGAUUCUUGUCGGUGAAAGCGGCGACUCAGAUUACGAAGAGCUGUUUGGAGGCCUUCACAAGACGAUCGUCCUGAAGGGCGAGUUCAACACGCCCGCAAACAGGAUCCACACGGUCAGGCGGUACCCGCUACAGGACGUCAUCGCGCUCGAUUGCUCGAACAUCAUCGGGGUCGAGGGCUGCAGCGCCGAUGACCUGACGCCUACCCUGAAGGCGCUCGGCAUACCGACAAAGUGACAGAUAGCCAUAUAAUUUUUGCCCUUUUUUCUUUAUACGAUGAGAGGACCGGACAAUACACGAAUAUAGCAAAUAUAUACUACCAUCGUUUCCAUGCUCGAUGGAAAUACCGAUUUUGCCUGCAAGCCGUGUGUUGUGGUGUUGUGUGCGCUCUGUCACCUGAGCUGUGAAUAACAACAUUCCGAUCGUGUUUCCGUCGAGACCGGCCCUGUCAUGUGGGAAUUCUGGAACGAAUAUCGAAUCAGGAACAGGAGGAAGAAAUCUGUUGAGCGCUUGAAGUGUUGUUAACAGAACAUUUUAAGGAAUUCUGUGAUGAACAACGGAUCCAGAAGAGGAAGAGAUCUGUUUGAGCGC
RNAcentral lists this ribosomal RNA (3426 nucleotides) under Triticum aestivum (bread wheat). RNAcentral describes it as "partial small subunit ribosomal RNA". The record is from RNAcentral. Lineage: Eukaryota; Viridiplantae; Streptophyta; Magnoliopsida; Poales; Poaceae.